Molecule: non-coding RNA, 218 nt
Filed under: Pseudomonas putida
Lineage: Bacteria; Pseudomonadati; Pseudomonadota; Gammaproteobacteria; Pseudomonadales; Pseudomonadaceae
Source: RNAcentral
CCUAACGCGAUUCGUUUGGGUGCCUUUUUAUUGCAAAAGGUGAAACGGGAAACCGGUGCGCCAUGGUCUUCAAGACCGUGGCAAGUCCGGUGCUGCCCCCGCAACGGUAAUCGAGGAAAACGUCUGAUCCACUGUGCCAGCAGUCCGGCAUGGGAAGGAGACGCCCAGGCCCAUGGCCCCUUGAAAGCCCGGAGACCGGCCCACGACCGAUUUGACCA